Molecule: ribosomal RNA, 304 nt
Filed under: uncultured fungus
Lineage: Eukaryota; Fungi
Description: eukaryotic LSU rRNA
Rfam family: 5.8S ribosomal RNA (bases 1-52)
Source: RNAcentral
AACGCAUCUUGCGCCCUUUGGUAUUCCGAAGGGCAUGUCUGUCUGAGUGUCAUGAAAUUCUCAAUCUCUCAUUUUUUAAUGAUGAGUUGGUUGGAUCGUGGGUGUUUGCUAGAUAAGUUAGCUCACCUGAAAUUUAUUUGCAAUGUUAUGUCCUUGUGAGUUGGCCUGACUAGGCGUGAUGGUAAAAAAUUCGUCUAGGAUCCCACUUUAUGUGAGGAGCCGCUUCUGUUGGAUUGUGUUGUUGCAUGUAAUCUACAUCUUUGGUUUAGACCUCAGAUCAGGCAGGACUACCCGCUGAACUUAA